This is a long non-coding RNA of Selaginella moellendorffii, 157 nucleotides long. RefSeq lists it as uncharacterized. The record is from RefSeq and is a predicted model, not a curated record. Lineage: Eukaryota; Viridiplantae; Streptophyta; Lycopodiopsida; Selaginellales; Selaginellaceae. The transcript is spliced from 4 exons.
GCUAGGGGGCUGUGAAUUUCUGGAGAAAAAAAGCCAGGUACUUCAAGGAUGGAUUGUACUACCACGGUGGUAUGGGUCGACUCAUUCGAGCAGUGAGGGCGCUUGCAAGGCUUACACGAAAGGAGCGCUUCAUCGAGUCUCUUGUUAAUGCGCCCAC